AUGGGAACGCGAAGAACCUUACCUACUCUUGACAUCCAGAGAACUUUCCAGAGAUGGAUUGGUGCCUUCGGGAACUCUGAGACAGGUGCUGCAUGGCUGUCGUCAGCUCGUGUUGUGAAAUGUUGGGUUAAAGUCCCGCAACGAGCGCAACCCUUAUCCUUUGUUGCCAGCGGUUAGGCCGGGAACUCAAAGGAGACUGCCAGUGAUAAACUGGAGGAAGGUGGGGAUGACGUCAAGUCAUCAUGGCCCUUACGAGUAGGGCUACACACGUGCUACAAUGGCGCAUACAAAGAGAAGCGACCUCGCGAGAGCAAGCGGACCUCAUAAAAGUGCGUCGUAGUCCGGAUUGGAGUCUGCAACUCGACUCCAUGAAGUCGGAAUCGCUAGUAAUCGUAGAUCAGAAUGCUACGGUG
This 413-nucleotide ribosomal RNA is filed under the name uncultured bacterium. RNAcentral's name for it is "bacterial SSU rRNA". It matches the Rfam family "Bacterial small subunit ribosomal RNA", at positions 954 to 1364 of the family's 1533-position model. The record is from RNAcentral.